UACGUAGGCAGCAAGCGUUGUUCGGAAUUACUGGGCGUAAAGAGUGUGUAGGCGGUGCUCUAAGUUCGGUGUGAAAUCUCCCGGCUCAACUGGGAGGGUGCGCCGAAAACUGGAGUGCUGGAGCGCGGGAGAGGAAAGCGGAAUUCCUGGUGUAGCGGUGAAAUGCGUAGAUAUCAGGAGGAACACCGGCGGUGUAGACGGCUUUCUGGACCGUAGCUGACGCUGAGACACGAAAGCGUGGGGAGCGAACAGG
Molecule: ribosomal RNA, 253 nt
Filed under: uncultured bacterium
Lineage: Bacteria
Description: partial 16S ribosomal RNA
Rfam family: Bacterial small subunit ribosomal RNA
Source: RNAcentral